RNAcentral lists this unclassified non-coding RNA (336 nucleotides) under soil metagenome. Its description in RNAcentral is "partial contains 5.8S ribosomal RNA, internal transcribed spacer 2, and large subunit ribosomal RNA". The stretch from base 1 to 120 matches the Rfam family "5.8S ribosomal RNA", at positions 35 to 154 of the family's 154-position model. The record is from RNAcentral.
GAUGAAGAACGUAGCGAAAUGCGAUAAGUAGUGUGAAUUGCAGAAUUCAGUGAAUCAUCGAAUCUUUGAACGCACAUUGCGCCCCUUGGUAUUCCAUGGGGCAUGCCUGUUCGAGCGUCAUUUGUACCUUCAAGCUUUGCUUGGUGUUGGGUGUUUGUCUCGCCUUUGCGUGUAGACUCGCCUUAAAAUAAUUGGCAGCCGGCGUAUUGAUUUCGGAGCGCAGUACAUCUCGCGCUUUGCACUCAUAACGACAGCGUCCAAAAGUACAUUUUACACUCUUGACCUCGGAUCAGGUAGUGAUACCCGCUGAACUUAAGCAUAUCAAUAAGCGGAGGA